This is a long non-coding RNA of Oryzias latipes (Japanese medaka), 661 nucleotides long. RefSeq lists it as uncharacterized. Lineage: Eukaryota; Metazoa; Chordata; Actinopteri; Beloniformes; Adrianichthyidae. The record is from RefSeq and is a predicted model, not a curated record.
CGACUCGACAGCCGAAUUGUUGCGAAGUUUCUCGAAGCGUCGGUCUUCUCUCUAUAAAAAAGCAAGGCGCAGACCGUCAGUCGUAUCGGGAUGACGCGGACCAGGCUGUCGGUUGGAGGAUCGGUCGGGGCGGACCAGACCGGACCGGACCGGACCGGACCGGACCGGGCGGCGAUCAAAUGUUGCCGUCCGUGACGCAAAGAUGUUUCCAUAGGUUGAAGUAAAUUGUCAGACGGGAUCAGCUGACGGUCGGUUUAAAGCCGGUCUGCUAACAGUUUCCGUUUGAAAGUAACCGGACGGUCAGCAGGAAGGUUUGGAUCAUAAACGAGGACAAACAUGGCGGGAUUUCCUCCAGUUAUUUCUGUUUCAGUGGCGAAGAGAAACAACAAAAACCAGAAGAUUCUUGGGAUAAAUGUUUGCUUUUGAUCGUAAUCCUAGCAGUUAUUGUGUAACUAAAGGAAAUCUAUUUAAAUUAAUUCAAAUAAUUAAAAAUGGUGUCAGCAAUGAAAUAAAAAACUUUAAAUAUUUUAGUGAAGAAACCUCAGUAAUGAUGUCAUGAAACAACAAAUGCAGAUAUUUUUAUGCUCAUUAUGACUGUUGAAGAUUAAAACGGCUGCUUUAGUUAGUAAAAAAAAUAAAGAUAAAAAUUCCAAAGGUCAAA